GGGUCGAUGGCGUAGUUGGUUAUCGCAUCUGUCUCACAUUAGAAUCAUAGAUUGGUGUGCACACAGGAGGUCCUCAGUUCGAGCCUGGGUCGACUCA
Termitomyces sp. Mi166#008 is the source of this 97-nucleotide non-coding RNA. The record is from the annotation of a GenBank genome assembly. NCBI's taxonomy places the organism in Eukaryota, Fungi, Basidiomycota, Agaricomycetes, Agaricales, Lyophyllaceae.